CAUUCUAAUGGUUAGAGUGUUUAUGCAGAAAUCCUCUGCGUAAGUCAUGGAACGACUUUUAAGGAGAAAACAAUG
This 75-nucleotide non-coding RNA is filed under the name unclassified sequences. Its description in RNAcentral is "freshwater-2 RNA". It matches the Rfam family "freshwater-2 RNA". From Rfam's summary of the family: Aquatic, esp. fresh water. The record is from RNAcentral.